GAUGAACGCUGGCGGCGUGCCUAAUACAUGCAAGUCGAGCGAACAGACGAGGAGCUUGCUCCUCUGACGUUAGCGGCGGACGGGUGAGUAACACGUGGAUAACCUACCUAUAAGACUGGGAUAACUUCGGGAAACCGGAGCUAAUACCGGAUAACAUGUUGAACCGCAUGGUUCAACAGUGAAAGACGGUCUUGCUGUCACUUAUAGAUGGAUCCGCGCCGCAUUAGCUAGUUGGUAAGGUAACGGCUUACCAGGGCAACGAUGCGUAGCCGACCUGAGAGGGUGAUCGGCCACACUGGAACUGAGACACGGUCCAGACUCCUACGGGAGGCAGCAGUAGGGAAUCUUCCGCAAUGGGCGAAAGCCUGACGGAGCAACGCCGCGUGAGUGAUGAAGGUCUUCGGAUCGUAAAACUCUGUUAUUAGGGAAGAACAAAUGUGUAAGUAACUAUGCACGUCUUGACGGUACCUAAUCAGAAAGCCACGGCUAACUACGUG
RNAcentral lists this ribosomal RNA (497 nucleotides) under uncultured bacterium. Its description in RNAcentral is "partial 16S ribosomal RNA". It matches the Rfam family "Bacterial small subunit ribosomal RNA", at positions 28 to 507 of the family's 1533-position model. The record is from RNAcentral.